GCGCAGCAGCGGCCGGCGGCCCCCGGGCUCGCGCGCGUUGCCAAGCGGCCGUUUCCGUAGCAACCCCGCCCGGGGAUGGAGGACCAGGCAGGGAGGGGGGCCGGGAAGCGAAAGAGAUAGAUCAAAAAGAGGGAAAGAGAGUGACAGGGAAGCUAGGGAGACAGCGGGCUAGGACGCCGAGGUCUGGUAAGGCUUGGCAGCACAAGCAAGGGAGGUGUGCGGACUGCUUGGCUGGGAAGUCAGGGCACCGGGGCCUGGCCUGCCCUCGGGUGCGUUCAGUUCCUGGGGCCUCCCAGGGCACCCGGACUUUAAAGUGCUCAAGUUGGGGUCGGCGCCAUCAUGACGCCCAAGACAGUGACUCCGGCUCACUACAACUCAAUUGUUAACCGUGACUUCUUUGGGAAAGGCCCACAGCAGAGAACGAAAUGGAAACAUCCAAGUUCUGGUUGGUGAGGCAGUACCUCCAGGGUGAAUGCUCCUCACAGCUGACUGUGAACUAGAAGACUAGCACACCAGAACCCAGAGUUAUCAUCAGUGUUCAGCCACCCCAUGAUGAAAUACUAGUGACGACUAAGGCUUUUGGCCCUGUCCAGGCAAAAACAGGAUGCUGUCCUGUCUCUAGGGUUUCUUCGGGAUAACCACAAUAUCUAAAAGAUGAAUGUUUAGGCUUGCCACUGCUGGUCAUGGUCAGUGCAGGCCUCAGCAACCAAAGGCUCAUCAUCCCUGGGUGGUCAAUAAUCGCUCCGUAGCUUCUCAUUCUUCUGGAUAAGGCUCCAAAACAUAGGCAAUCUUGACAAAUGUUUCUUGUUUCAUUGCUGUAAAAAAUAUUUUACAUCCCUGCGACGCCCGGGUUUAUGUUUCUCCUGGCAACUGAAGGGGAAUCUCAUCAGAACUGUAAAUGUGAGUUUGUACAGAAUACAUGCCCAAGUGAAGAAUAACAAGUGUCUACAAAGGUUUUCAGAAUGAAAAUACUUAGAAUUUACCUAUAAUUUUAAUUUUAGUAAAAAACAAAACUUUAUCCUGGUACAUAUUUUCUUGCAUAUUCAGAUAUGCUAUGUAUAACAUGUUAUGUGUAGACUCAACAUUACUGGGUUCAAUAAACUUUUGCGUUAUGCUCAUUGAAACAGCUUCAUACUGGACACAAGCCCUCACUUUGGGUGAUAUUUGCAUGGAAUCCCUGAUUUCCGCGAAAGGCAUAUAAAGCAUGAUUUUGAACAACAA
Mesocricetus auratus (golden hamster) is the source of this 1221-nucleotide long non-coding RNA. RefSeq lists it as uncharacterized. The record is from RefSeq and is a predicted model, not a curated record. The transcript is spliced from 2 exons. Lineage: Eukaryota; Metazoa; Chordata; Mammalia; Rodentia; Cricetidae.